RNAcentral lists this ribosomal RNA (413 nucleotides) under uncultured bacterium. Its description in RNAcentral is "bacterial SSU rRNA". It matches the Rfam family "Bacterial small subunit ribosomal RNA", at positions 29 to 432 of the family's 1533-position model. The record is from RNAcentral.
AGUGAACGCUGGCGGCGCGCCUAAUACAUGCAAGUCGAGCGAGAAGGUGUAGCAAUACACUUGUAAAGCGGCGAACGGGUGAGGAAUGCAUGGGUAACCUACCCUCGAGUGGGGAAUAACUAGCCGAAAGGUUAGCUAAUACCGCAUACGUUUCCGGAACUUCGGUUUCGGAAAGAAAGCAAUACCGUGGGUAUUGCGCUCCUGGAUGGGCUCAUGUCCUAUCAGCUUGUUGGUGAGGUAACGGCUCACCAAGGCUUCGACGGGUAGCUGGUCUGAGAGGACGAUCAGCCACACUGGCACUGCGACACGGGCCAGACUCCUACGGGAGGCAGCAGUAAGGAAUAUUGCGCAAUGGACGAAAGUCUGACGCAGCGACGCCGCGUGGGGGAUGAAGGUCUUCGGAUUGUAAACCC